This 253-nucleotide ribosomal RNA is filed under the name uncultured bacterium. RNAcentral describes it as "partial 16S ribosomal RNA". It matches the Rfam family "Bacterial small subunit ribosomal RNA", at positions 524 to 776 of the family's 1533-position model. The record is from RNAcentral.
UACGUAGGUGACCAGCGUUGUCCGGAUUUACUGGGCGUAAAGAGCGCGCAGGCGGUCGUUCAAGUCGAGUGUGAAAGCCCCCGGCUCAACUGGGGAGGGGCAUUCGAUACUGAUCGACUGGAAGGCAGGAGAGGGAAGCGGAAUUCCCGGUGUAGUGGUGAAAUGCGUAGAUAUCGGGAGGAACACCAGUGGCGAAGGCGGCUUCCUGGCCUGUUCUUGACGCUGAGGCGCGAAAGCUAGGGGAGCAAACGGG